GACGAACGCUGGCGGCGUGCUUAACACAUGCAAGUCGAGCGGAGCGGCGAACGGGUGAGUAACGCGUGAGUAACGGCCCCCCUCUCUGGGAUAACAAUUGGAAACGGCUGCGAAUACCGGAAAGUGGGGGAUGACUCGGGUCCUAUCAGCUUGUUGGUGGGGUAGUGGCCUGCCAAGGGGACGACGGGUAGCCGGCCUGAGAGUGCGACCGGCCCCAUUGUGCUGAGAUGCCGCCCAAACUCCUACGUGAGGCAGCGGUGGGGAAUAUUGCACAAUGGGGGAAACGCUGAUGCAGCAACGCCGCGUGCGGGAUGACGGCCUUCGGGUUGUAAACCGCUUUCAGCCAUGACGCGGUAGUGGCAGAAGAAGCACCGGCUAACUACGUGCCAGCAGCCGCGGUAAUUC
Molecule: ribosomal RNA, 405 nt
Filed under: uncultured bacterium
Lineage: Bacteria
Description: partial 16S ribosomal RNA
Rfam family: Bacterial small subunit ribosomal RNA
Source: RNAcentral